Molecule: non-coding RNA, 399 nt
Organism: Cherax quadricarinatus
Lineage: Eukaryota; Metazoa; Arthropoda; Malacostraca; Decapoda; Parastacidae
Source: RefSeq, a predicted model, not a curated record
GGGAGAAGUCUUAGUGGAUCGCAGUGAGGAUGCUGCUCUGCCACCUACAACGCCCUGACCGUACGCAAGUCGUCUACAAGCGAUUCGGUACGGCACAUCGGCAUUCGGGUGUUCUGUAUUUGGAAUGGGAGAGCCGGCACUAAAUUCCAUCAGUCGCAGCUCCCCCGGGCUAACCUUGCUUGGGUCCAUUCUGCGAGCCGACAGAGCGGCACCGCACGUCUCAAGUGUGACCGUCCCAACGCAGACCGUACGUCAAUAUCCCUUUGAGGGAGAAGUCUUAGUGGAUCGCAGUGAGGAUGCUGCUCUGCCACCUACAACGCCCUGACCGGUACGCAAGUCGUCUACAAGCGAUUGGGUACGGCACAUCGGCAUUCGGGUGUUCUGUAUUUGGAAUGGGAA